GGAAGUGCCUAGGUCACUGGUGGGCCUCCCGGGCUUCAAACCCGGUGUGACGUGUGAGAAGCGCGUCAGGUGGGUUCGAUUCCCAUGCACUUCCGCCA
RNAcentral lists this transfer RNA (98 nucleotides) under Deltaproteobacteria bacterium. Its description in RNAcentral is "tRNA-Sec". It matches the Rfam family "Selenocysteine transfer RNA". Lineage: Bacteria; Pseudomonadati; Myxococcota; Myxococcia. The record is from RNAcentral.